GAUGAAGAACGUAGCGAAAUGCGAUAAGUAAUGUGAAUUGCAGAAUUCAGUGAAUCAUCGAAUCUUUGAACGCACAUUGCGCCCGCCAGUAUUCUGGCGGGCAUGCCUGUCCGAGCGUCAUUUCAACCCUCGAACCCCUCCGGGGGGUCGGCGUUGGGGAUCGGCCCCUCACCGGGCCGCCCCCGAAAUCCAGUGGUGGUCUCGCCGCAGCCUCUCCUGCGCAGUAGUUUGCACACUCGCACCGGGAGCGCGGCGCGGCCACAGCCGUAAAACACCCCAAACUCUGAAAUGUUGACCUCGGAUCAGGUAGGAAUACCCGCUGAACUUAAGCAUAUCAAUAAGCGGAGGA
This 349-nucleotide unclassified non-coding RNA is filed under the name soil metagenome. RNAcentral describes it as "partial contains 5.8S ribosomal RNA, internal transcribed spacer 2, and large subunit ribosomal RNA". The stretch from base 1 to 120 matches the Rfam family "5.8S ribosomal RNA", at positions 35 to 154 of the family's 154-position model. The record is from RNAcentral.